RNAcentral lists this non-coding RNA (107 nucleotides) under human gut metagenome. RNAcentral describes it as "FMN riboswitch (RFN element)". It matches the Rfam family "FMN riboswitch aptamer (RFN element)". Rfam says of the family: The RFN element is a highly conserved domain that is found frequently in the 5'-untranslated regions of prokaryotic mRNAs that encode for flavin mononucleotide (FMN) biosynthesis and transport proteins. This element is a metabolite-dependent riboswitch that directly binds FMN in the absence of proteins. The record is from RNAcentral.
UAUCUUCGGGGCGGGGUGCAAUUCCCCACCGGCAGUUAAAGUCUGCGAGCGCAAGCUGAUUUGGUGAAAUUCCAAAACCGACGGUACAGUCCGGAUGAAAGAAGAUU